CAGUUCGGAUUGAAGGCUGAAAUUACGCCUUCCAUGAAGCCGGAAUUGCUAGUAAUGGCAGGUCAGCAUACUGCCGUGAAUACGUUCCCGGGCCUUGUACACACCGCCCGUCACACCAUGAGAGUUGGAGAUACCCGAAGCCUGUGAGCUAACAAACGAGGCAGCAGUCGAAGGUAGAAUCAAUGAUUGGGGUGAAGUCGUAACAAGGUAGC
RNAcentral lists this ribosomal RNA (212 nucleotides) under uncultured bacterium. Its description in RNAcentral is "partial 16S ribosomal RNA". It matches the Rfam family "Bacterial small subunit ribosomal RNA", at positions 1289 to 1500 of the family's 1533-position model. The record is from RNAcentral.